AUUGAACGCUGGCGGCAUGCCUUACACAUGCAAGUCGAACGGUAACAGGUCUUCGGAUGCUGACGAGUGGCGAACGGGUGAGUAAUACAUCGGAACGUGCCUAGUAGUGGGGGAUAACUACUCGAAAGAGUGGCUAAUACCGCAUGAGAUCUACGGAUGAAAGCAGGGGAUCGCAGGACCUUGUGCUACUAGAGCGGCCGAUGGCAGAUUAGGUAGUUGGUGGGAUAAAAGCUUACCAAGCCGACGAUCUGUAGCUGGUCUGAGAGGACGAUCAGCCACACUGGGACUGAGAAACGGCCCAGACUCCUACGGGAGGCAGCAGUGGGGAAUUUUGGACAAUGGGCGCAAGCCUGAUCCAGCAAUGCCGCGUGCAGGAUGAAGGCCUUCGGGUUGUAAACUGCUUUUGUACGGAACGAAAAGCCCCGGGUUAAUACCCUGGUGUCAUGACGGUACCGUAAGAAUAAGCACCGGCUAACUACGUGCCAGCAGCCGCCGUAA
RNAcentral lists this ribosomal RNA (498 nucleotides) under uncultured bacterium. Its description in RNAcentral is "partial 16S ribosomal RNA". It matches the Rfam family "Bacterial small subunit ribosomal RNA", at positions 30 to 523 of the family's 1533-position model. The record is from RNAcentral.